CAGGAGACAGACAUGAUCAUAGGAAACUUCCUCAGAUCUUCCAAGACUAGGUUUGCUUUGUCCCUGAAUAUGCUUCCAGAGUACCCUCUGCUGACCCUGAGUACUGGUCUAUAGCACCAAAUGGAAGACUGUCUGUCGAUACACAUUUUGUGACAGGCUCAGUUUUGUAUAACUAUUGUCAAUCUCCAUAACCCUAGCACAUAGGAAGUCUCUGGCACAUAUCAGAUGCUCAAUAUCGGUUGAGUGAAUGUAUUAAUCAUCUCCUUUAAAACCAGAGUCAGUGGAUUGAAGGGAUUGACUUCAGUAGGCAGCAAUUCAGUCCAACAAAUAAGGAUCUAUUACUGAGCAUCAACUAUGGUGAAACUGUGCUUGGUGGAAGUUCAAGAAUGAAUAUAUCAAAAGUCACGUCCUGCAGGAAGUCACAACCAACAACGGAGAUAAACUGUUAAACUGAAAAUGAUCCUUGUAUGAAUUAAAGAUGCUGGUACACUUGA
Molecule: long non-coding RNA, 494 nt
Filed under: Homo sapiens (human)
Lineage: Eukaryota; Metazoa; Chordata; Mammalia; Primates; Hominidae
Description: non-protein coding LPP-AS1:1
Source: RNAcentral